CCAGGAGCACCGCUGGGUAGCUAUGUACGGACGGGAUAAACGCUGAAAGCAUCUAAGCGUGAAGCCCCCCUCAAGAUGAGAUUUCCCAGUAUGUAAGACCCCUUGAAGACGACGAGGUAGAUAGGCUGGGGGUGGAAGUGCAGCAAUGCAUGGAGCUGACCAGUACUAAUCGGUCGAGGGCUUAUCCAAUA
Molecule: ribosomal RNA, 191 nt
Filed under: Bacillus sp. SRB_28
Lineage: Bacteria; Bacillati; Bacillota; Bacilli; Caryophanales; Bacillaceae
Description: partial 23S ribosomal RNA
Rfam family: Bacterial large subunit ribosomal RNA
Source: RNAcentral